Molecule: long non-coding RNA, 3952 nt
Filed under: Homo sapiens (human)
Lineage: Eukaryota; Metazoa; Chordata; Mammalia; Primates; Hominidae
Description: HSALNT0130346
Source: RNAcentral
CUCAGGCCUCAGCCACCACAGUAAGUGGAACUCUAUACCUCCACCUCGCCUGGCUGGGUGGAGCCUCUAAACUCAGGAUUCUGCCUUGAGCUGUGGCUCUCCCCUCAGGUUGACAGGGUCCAGAGCAAAACCUACGGAAGAAGCUGCAGAGGCCAGGUGGAGGGAAGGAUGCUGAACUGGAGGAGGCCAGGAAAUUAUGAGAAUGUGCACUGCCAUCUGUGGCUGUCUUCCUGCUGGCAAAUCCUUUUCAUUCCAAGCAAAUAAGAUUCCCUAAAUUAGACAAAAAGGAAGAAACACAACAGAGUCCAUAAUUCUGAGAGGAAGAGAAGAGUGAUCAUCAGCAGCAAAAGGCAAUUGCAGAGAAGCACCACCAAGAGCCAGCUUCAUGCUCAGGAGUGAAUGCUGAGCCGCCUCCUCGUGGUUUCCGGUGCUCCACAUGUUCAGAGAAACUUCUCUGAUGGAGUCUUCCUCUGCUGACCAGGAUGGAGUGCAUGCAGUGGCACAAUCUCGGCUCACGGUAACCUCUGCCUCCUGGGUUCAAGCAAUUCUCCUGCCUCAGCCUCCCGAGUAGCUGGGAUUACAGGCAUAUGCCACCACACCAGGCUAAUUUUUGUAUUUUUAGUAGAGACGGGGUUUCACCAUGUUGAUCAGGCUGGUUUUUAACUCCUGACCUCAAGUGGUCUACCCUCCUCUGCCUCCCAAAGUGCUGGGAUUACAGACAUGAACCACUGCACCCAGCUGGUUAAUUUAUUAUUAAAGAAAGAAAAUUGUAAAAGGUAAAUUUAAUGUGGCCAAAGUGUCCAGUGCUUAUAAAAUCUACAGUAGUAUAAUGUCCUAGGCCUUCAUAUUCACUUACCACCCACUCACUCAUCCAGAGCAACUUCCAGUCCUGCCAAGCUUCAUUCCUGUUAGGUGUCCUAUAUAGGGGUACCAAUUUUUACUUUUAUUUUUUAUUUAUUUUUUUUGAGACGGAGUCUUGUUCUGUCCCCAGGCUGGAGUGCAGUGGUGUGAUAUUGACUCACUGCAACCUCCAACUCCCAGGUUCACGCGAUGCUCCUGCCUCAGCCUCCCGAGUAGCUGGGACUACAGGCACACACCACCACACCCAGCUAAUUUUUUUUGUAUUUUUACUAGAGACGGGGUUUCACCAUGCUGGCCAGGCUGGUCUCGAUCUCCUGACCUUGUGAUCCGCCUGCCUCGGCCUCCCAAAGUGCCGGGAUUACAGGCAUGAGCCACCACGCCCAGCCAAUUUUUAUCUUUUAUAUCAUAUUUUUACCAUACUUUGUCUAUGUUUAGUGAACAAAUACCGUUGUGUUACCGUUGCCUACAGUAUUGAGUGCAGUGGCGUGCUGCACAUGUCUGCAGCCUGGGAGCAAUGGGCUGUAGCACAGAGCCUGGGUGUGUAGAAGGCUGCACCUUCUGGGUUUGUGUAAGUGCACUCUGUGGUAUUCGCAUAAUGAUGAAAUUGCUUAAUGACACUCUUCUCAGAACGUAUCCCUGUCGUUCAGUGAUGCAUGAGAGUAUUUUAAAGGUAGAUUAAUCAUGAGAUGAACAGUGGUGGAAUUUGAUAAAUAGGUAGAAAUUGGCUUCAAGGAGAAUUUUAGUGGUGAUUCCAAGCCUACAUUUAAUCAUUUUAUUAACUUGGAUAAAGACAUCAAUGGCACAUUGAUGAAUGUGCCAUAUGGCAUUUAGUAAAAAGGGAUGGCUCCACUCAAGAGGACAUUAUCGUGAGCCAAAGGGACUCCGAGAGGCUGAAAUGAUUUCCCUAGAUAUAACUAAAUACAGUUUAGCAGAAACGAAUAACCAAUUUCUAUAUUUGGAAAUGCCAUCGUGCCUUCCCCCACCCCAAUCACCUUCAAUACCAAAUUGUAUAGGACACACCUGGUAACUGCACGUAGCCUCCUCUCCCCCUCCUUUGUUGGGACAAUGGGGCUGAUAGAAGAAAACUGGAUUUUUUUUUCCAGUUUUGUUUUCCAGCAACCCCUCAGGACUCUGGUAUUUUUGUUAAUUAUUUGGGAUUUAGGAAUUAAGAGUGAGACCUGACUGAGUCAUGAAAAGGAUGGAGUCUAUAUUCCAAUUUAGAAAGUGGUUUCUGAGACCAUCCCCUGGGGUGGUCAGCAUACCCCAGAGAGGUGAUCAGUUCUGGACAGAGCAUCUUGAGCAGGAAAGCAAUAAUAAACCGGGGUGUGUUUUGAGGAUGGCACCAUGCUUGAGACGGUGUCAUGUGAAGCAGACUGGAAGGAACUGUGGAUGCUGAAUGUGGGGAAGAGAAGACUCUAGAAGCACACCGUCACUGCCUUCAGGUGUUGGAAAGGCCGGCACCAGGGAGAAGGCUGAGACUUGUUCUGUGGGGCAUUAAUGGAAGGAUGCUCAACUGGAUCUUAUACUGAAAGCAAAUAUGAGAUCAAGUCUGCCAGGGUAGGUGUGGAGAAAGUGGCCCUGUAAGCCAAGGGGCUAUUGAGUUCAAUCCUGGAUGUCAUUCCAGCUGGUGGGGUGCGGUGGAAACACCAGGGAAGGGCAGGGGUAGGGGGGGACCAGCCAUGCAGGGGAGAAGGCAAGUCCUCAGACCCCUGUUCUGUGUGGCACUGUGCGGAAGAGGGGAAGGCUGCCUCACUUCACCCUGUGUGCCAGUCCUUUAUCUAACUAAAUCUCCACAGAAAAUCCACAAGAUGGGGUUGAAUGACCUUUUGUUAUCCAGAAAAGAAACAGCCUGAGGAGUAAAGUCACCUGACUGAGGUCACUCUGCUAGAAGGUGGGGCAGGGAUUCAGCCCCCGGUGCUGUCCCUGACUCUCUUUCUGCGUGGAGGGAUUCAGGCUCAGCCUCCAGGAACCGGAGACCAGAGCUCCCUAUCUGGGACCCAGCCACUGAGACGUCAGGUCACAAAGAUGGAUAGAACCAGAGGCACUGGGGAGCCGGAGAGCUUUGGAAAUGGGCAUCUUUAUGUCCUUCUGCCUCAGUCUAGAGCUGAGAUUUGUGAAAGGGCCAAAUCAGGGGUAGGAAGAGGGUGCAGUGUAUCCUCCGAGGUGGGAGGAGGCCGGGCCAUUUGACCAUAUCUUUCUCUUCAGAGUUCACUGUUCCCAAAGACACAUUAUAUGUCAUCCAUUUUUAUAUAAAUGGUGAGUUCCCAAAUGGGAUUUAAAGACAGCCUAGCAAAUCUUUACAUCCCUUGGAACUUAAAACAAAGCUUUUCCUUCACAGAAUUCUAAUCUCUCUUGAAUAAGAGGCUACGAAACUGAGGGACAUUAUAAUAACCUUCAUUUAAAAUUAGAUUCUGGAUGUUCUGGUGACUUAGCUGAAAACAGCUCAAAUCAGCGAAAACCUUUACAAAGACUUUUCGAAAGUUGGAAGACAUAUCUGUACACACAGGGCGUAGAGCCGGACUUGGCCAGUAUGUGCCUUCUGCCUCCUCCUGGCAAUGCUUACCCCUUAUUACUGUUAUUUCUGAGACGUGAAUGUUUUCUCAUAGUGAAUGUAGCAGUAAUAGUAAUAAUAAUAAUAAUAAUAAUAAUAAUAAUAAUAAUGAUAAAGAACAGCAACAUUUCUCACAAACCCAUUUCCUGAGUAUUAGCAGAUUUGCUACUGGGCCUUGGUUCCCCUUAGAUCUUGGCUUAAAUGAAUGCUUAAUAAUGAUAACAGAGGCUGGGUGCCAUGUCUUAUGUUGGUAAUCCCAGCACUUUGGAUCACUUGAGGCCAGGAGUUCGAGACCAUCCUGGCCAACAUGGCGAAACCCUGUCUCUACUAACAAUGCAAAAAUUAGCCAGGUGUAGUGGCACAAAUUAGCCGGGUGUAGUGGCACAAAUUAGCCAGGUGUAGUGGCACACCCCUGUAAUUCCAGCUACUUGGGAGGUUGGGGCAUGAGAAUGGCUUGAACCUGGGAGGCGGAGGUUGCAGUGAGCCAAGAUCACAGCACUGCGUUCCAGCCUGGGCAAUAGAGGCACUCUGUCACAAAAG